Molecule: ribosomal RNA, 201 nt
Filed under: uncultured prokaryote
Description: partial 16S ribosomal RNA
Rfam family: Bacterial small subunit ribosomal RNA
Source: RNAcentral
GACGUAGGAUGCGAGCGUUGUCCGGAUUCAUUGGGCGUAAAGAGUUCGUAGGCGGUUUGUUAAGUCUGGUGUAAAAGGCUCGGGCCCAACCCGGGUAUAGCACUGGAUACUGGCAGACUGGAGUGCAGUAGAGGCGAGUGGAAUUCCCAGUGUAGCGGUGAAAUGCGUAGAUAUUGGGAAGAACACCGGUGGCGCAGGCGA